Molecule: ribosomal RNA, 494 nt
Filed under: Veillonella atypica
Lineage: Bacteria; Bacillati; Bacillota; Negativicutes; Veillonellales; Veillonellaceae
Description: bacterial SSU rRNA
Rfam family: Bacterial small subunit ribosomal RNA
Source: RNAcentral
GACGAACGCUGGCGGCGUGCUUAACACAUGCAAGUCGAACGAAGAGCGAUGGAAGCUUGCUUCUAUCAAUCUUAGUGGCGAACGGGCGAGUAACGCGUAAUCGACCUGCCCUUCAGAGGGGGACAACAGUUGGAAACGACUGCUAAUACCGCAUACGAUCCAAUCUCGGCAUCGAGACUGGAUGAAAGGUGGCCUCUAUUUAUAAGCUAUCACUGAAGGAGGGGAUUGCGUCUGAUUAGCUAGUCGGAGGGGUAACGGCCCACCAAGGCGAUGAUCAGUAGCCGGUCUGAGAGGAUGAACGGCCACAUUGGGACUGAGACACGGCCCAGACUCCUACGGGAGGCAGCAGUGGGGAAUCUUCCGCAAUGGACGAAAGUCUGACGGAGCAACGCCGCGUGAGUGAUGACGGCCUUCGGGUUGUAAAGCUCUGUUAAUCGGGACGAAUGGUUCUUGUGCGAAUAGUGCAAGGAUUUGACGGUACCGGAAUAGAAAGC